This 119-nucleotide ribosomal RNA is filed under the name Lepisosteus oculatus (spotted gar). Lineage: Eukaryota; Metazoa; Chordata; Actinopteri; Semionotiformes; Lepisosteidae. The record is from RNAcentral.
GCCAGCAGCCAUAUAACCCUGCGACUCACAACUGGCAACCCACUGAAGCUAAGCAGGUGUGAGCCUGGUCAGUACCUGCAUGGGAGACCUCCUGGGAAAAACUAAGGAUGCUGCUGGAA